CAGCAGCCGCGGGAAUACGAAGGGGGCUAGCGUUGUUCGGAAUUACUGGGCGUAAAGGGCGCGUAGGCGGCCAUUCAAGUUAGAUGUGAAAGCCCUGGGCUCAACCUAGGAAUUGCAUUUGAUACUGUUUGGCUUGAGUUCGGGAGAGGUGAGUGGAAUUCCCAGUGUAGAGGUGAAAUUCGUAGAUAUUGGGAAGAACACCAGUGGCGAAGGCGGCUCACUGGACCGACACUGACGCUGAGGCGCGAAAGCGUGGGGAGCAAACAGGAUUAGAUACCCGCGUAGUCCCUGUCUCUUAUAC
RNAcentral lists this ribosomal RNA (301 nucleotides) under uncultured bacterium. RNAcentral describes it as "partial 16S ribosomal RNA". It matches the Rfam family "Bacterial small subunit ribosomal RNA", at positions 509 to 807 of the family's 1533-position model. The record is from RNAcentral.